This 126-nucleotide small RNA is filed under the name Marmota monax (woodchuck). Lineage: Eukaryota; Metazoa; Chordata; Mammalia; Rodentia; Sciuridae. The record is from RNAcentral.
GCCCGGUGUGGUUGUGCAUGCCUGUAAUCCCAGCACUAGGGAGGCUGAGACAAGAGGAUUGUGAGUUCAAAGUCAGCCUAAGCAACUUAGUGAGGUCCUAUGCAAUUUAGCAAGACCCUGUCUCAA